UGCAUUUGGAGCCCAUGAGGAUGAGAACCUCCGGGGGCGGGGAGGUUCGACUCGAGCGAAGCGAGAGAACGUUGCGCCAGCAACGGCCCGCAGGGCGAGCCACGAAGUGGCGAGUAAUCCUCUAUCACCGACCA
This 134-nucleotide small RNA is filed under the name Escherichia coli. Its description in RNAcentral is "RtT sRNA". It matches the Rfam family "RtT RNA". From Rfam's summary of the family: This family represents a bacterial cis-regulatory element known as RtT RNA. The exact function of RtT is unknown although it is thought that it may be involved in changing the cellular response in relation to amino acid starvation. Lineage: Bacteria; Pseudomonadati; Pseudomonadota; Gammaproteobacteria; Enterobacterales; Enterobacteriaceae. The record is from RNAcentral.